Molecule: long non-coding RNA, 274 nt
Filed under: Neogale vison (American mink)
Lineage: Eukaryota; Metazoa; Chordata; Mammalia; Carnivora; Mustelidae
Description: Neovison vison (American mink) lncRNA (ENSNVIG00000021022.1)
Source: RNAcentral
CAGGAGGACCCUGGCCUGAAGACCCUUCCUCCCCCCAAGGCUGCUCCUGGGCCUGCAGGUGGUGCUGGCUGGAGUGCACACUUUUGGACCCAAACUUAAGUUUUCAAAUGUGGACUCCUAGAUCUUCACUGGUUUCUAGAAGAUGUUGAGUGCCUGAAAGGAAACGACAAACCAUGAAAAUCGCUUUGAGGUGACCCAUCAGUCCAGUGGUCCCUUGCUCCUCCCAAGGUGGAUCUGAGCUUCAAGAACUCUAACUUCAGGUAAUAAAAUCACA